This is a long non-coding RNA of Penaeus indicus, 695 nucleotides long. RefSeq lists it as uncharacterized. NCBI's taxonomy places the organism in Eukaryota, Metazoa, Arthropoda, Malacostraca, Decapoda, Penaeidae. The record is from RefSeq and is a predicted model, not a curated record. The transcript is spliced from 3 exons.
GUCGGGGAGACGGGCAGAGGGGGUGGACGUUUGUGUUCUCGCUCUCGGAUAAUUUUUAAGUCAUUAGAUAUUAUCAGAGUGUGAUAGAUUUUAUUUUUAGUUCAUGUUUAAGUGAAUUUUAAAACAUAGAAUCUAAAAGAAGAAGAAAAAGAAAAAAAAGAUUUUGUUUUUUGAUUAAAAAAAAGAAGAAGUAGAUGUAUAUGUUCAUAAAUACUGGAAAAAGAAGCUUAGAAGACAAGAAACGUUGAUCAAGAAACUUUUUUUUCAUUUAUCGGGAAGAAAUCUUUGUUGCUCGUGAAGACCGAGUUCACCUGCAGACAAGGAUGACAGCCACGUAACUCAGGAAGAAAUUUAUUCUCUCCUUUAUCCCUUCCUCCUUCCUCCUUUCCCCCCCUUCCUUUCUCUCCAUAAAUAAAUAUAUAUAUAAAGAAGGAAGUAGAAGGAGAGAAGGAAGGUUCAAGAAAAAAAGGAUAAAAAAAAGGGAGACUGACAAGAGAGAGAGAGACAGAGAGGUGGAUAAGCCUACCUCUCCGGAUGAUGGAAACAUUGGACGUUUGAUCCUGGCUUGGUGUAGCGCGAGACGGCAGGGUCAGCUCGAGCACAAUGGUGAGCCGCGGUGUUUUCCCUUUUUUGAACGAGGAGGAGGAGGAGGAGGAUUUAAUUCGUUUGUUUGUUUCUUUUGAUCUAUAUCUGUC